GGCGGUAUAGCUCAGUGGUCUAGCAGCACCCGGCUUUUAACCGGAUGGUCCUGGGUUCAAAUCCCAGUGCCGCCACCA
Molecule: transfer RNA, 78 nt
Filed under: Candidatus Saccharimonadota bacterium
Lineage: Bacteria; Candidatus Saccharimonadota
Description: tRNA-Lys
Rfam family: tRNA
About the family: Transfer RNA (tRNA) molecules are approximately 80 nucleotides in length.
Source: RNAcentral